GGGGGGGGGGGGGGGGGGGGCUGGCGGGGGGGGGGCGGGCGGGGGGGGGGGGCGUGCGCGCGGAGGUAGCGGCGGACGGGGGGGUAAUGCCUGGGAAGCUGCCUGGUAGUGGGGGAUAACGUUCCGAAAGGAACGCUAAUACCGCAUACGUCCUACGGGAGAAAGCGGGGGACCUUCGGGCCUUGCGCUCUCAGAUGAGCCUAGGUCGGAUUAGCUAGUUGGUGAGGUAAUGGCUCACCAAGGCGACGAUCCGUAACUGGUCUGAGAGGAUGAUCAGUCACACUGGAACUGAGACACGGUCCAGACUCCUACGGGAGGCAGCAGUGGGGAAUAUUGGACAAUGGGCGAAAGCCUGAUCCAGCCAUGCCGCGUGUGUGAAGAAGGUCUUCGGAUUGUAAAGCACUUUAAGUUGGGAGGAAGGGCUGCUGGUUAAUACCCUGCAGUUUUGACGUUACCAACAGAAUAAGCACCGGCUAACUUCGUG
Molecule: ribosomal RNA, 484 nt
Filed under: uncultured bacterium
Lineage: Bacteria
Description: partial 16S ribosomal RNA
Rfam family: Bacterial small subunit ribosomal RNA
Source: RNAcentral